This 497-nucleotide ribosomal RNA is filed under the name uncultured bacterium. Its description in RNAcentral is "partial 16S ribosomal RNA". It matches the Rfam family "Bacterial small subunit ribosomal RNA", at positions 28 to 507 of the family's 1533-position model. The record is from RNAcentral.
GAUGAACGCUGGCGGCGUGCCUAAUACAUGCAAGUCGAGCGAACAGACGAGGAGCUUGCUCCUCUGACGUUAGCGGCGGACGGGUGAGUAACACGUGGAUAACCUACCUAUAAGACUGGGAUAACUUCGGGAAACCGGAGCUAAUACCGGAUAAUAUAUUGAACCGCAUGGUUCAAUAGUGAAAGACGGUUUUGCUGUCACUUAUAGAUGGAUCCGCGCCGCAUUAGCUAGUUGGUAAGGUAACGGCUUACCAAGGCGACGAUGCGUAGCCGACCUGAGAGGGUGAUCGGCCACACGAGAACUGAGACACGGUCCAGACUCCUACGGGAGGCAGCAGUAGGGAAUCUUCCGCAAUGGGCGAAAGCCUGACGGAGCAACGCCGCGUGAGUGAUGAAGGUCUUCGGAUCGUAAAACUCUGUUAUGAGGGAAGAACAAAUGUGUAAGUAACUAUGCACGUCUUGACGGUACCUAAUCAGAAAGCCACGGCUAACUACGUG